GGGCUGACGACGCUGGCGGCGUGCCUAGACAUGCAAGUCGAACGGUAACAGGGACUUCGGUCCGCUGACGAGUGGCGCACGGGUGAGUAACGCGUGGAGUUACCUGCCCAUCAGUGGGGAACAACUCCGGGAAACYGGAGCUAAUACCGCAUACGACCUUCGGGUGAAAGAGGGGGAUCUUCGGACCUCUCGCUGAUGGAUGGUUCCGCGUCCGAUUAGUUAGUUGGUAAGGUAAUGGCUUACCAAGACGAUGAUCGGUAGCUGGUCUGAGAGGAUGAUCAGCCACACUGGAACUGAGACACGGUCCAGACUCCUACGGGAGGCAGCAGUGGGGAAUUUUGCACAAUGGGCGAAAGCCUGAUGCAGCGACGCCGCGUGCGGGAAGAAGGCCUUCGGGUUGUAAACCGCUUUCAACAGGGAAGAAGGAAUGAGGGCCAAUACCCCUCUGCCUUGACGGUACCUGUAGAAGAAGCCCCGGCUAAUUUCGUGCCAGCAGCCGCGGUAAUACGAAAGGGGCAAGCGUUGUUCGGAUUUACUGGGCGUAAAGAGAUCGUAGGUGGCUUGUUAAGUCGGAUGUGAAAUCCCGGGGCUCAACCCCGGAACUGCAUUCGAUACUGGCAGGCUUGAGUUCGGGAGGGGGGAAGCGGAAUUCCGUGUGUAGCAGUGAAAUGCGUAGAUAUACGGAGGAACACCUGAGGCGAAGGCGGCUUCCUGGACCGAUACUGACACUGAGGAUCGAAAGCGUGGGUAGCAAACAGGAUUAGAUUACCCUGGUAGUCCACGCCCUAAACGAUGUCUACUAGCCGUUGCGGGUAUCGACCCCUGCAGUGGCGCAGCUAACGCGAUAAGUAGACCGCCUGGGGAGUACGGCCGCAAGCUAAGCG
RNAcentral lists this ribosomal RNA (884 nucleotides) under uncultured Zetaproteobacteria bacterium. RNAcentral's name for it is "bacterial SSU rRNA". It matches the Rfam family "Bacterial small subunit ribosomal RNA", at positions 22 to 900 of the family's 1533-position model. The record is from RNAcentral. Lineage: Bacteria; Pseudomonadati; Pseudomonadota; Candidatius Mariprofundia.